UACUGGCUAGGCUGCCUGUAGUGCACUUGCUAUUAGUGAGUGUAAUUUUUAACCGAGUGAGUUACGUAAAAUAUUUGGCUAUGCGUAAACGAAAGUGUACAUUUUAUGAUGUCCUUUCCUGCAAAUAUCCGGCUUUCAAGAAAGGGAGAAAUGAAUUUGAAGUGGAAUGUAAGAUAUGUGGAGCUGGAACGUACGUCUCUGUGGCCAAUAAAGGAAACACUAUUGAAGAUCUUAUGGCUGUCGAUAGACAGAUCGAGGCCAUUCAGCAACAGAUAUGUCAUCAGCCUACUUGUGAUUAUAAGCACUUACUGGACGAUGGAUUGAGGGUCCCAUAGACUGGAUGAAUUGUUCACAUCUUGGAGUCAGAGCCAAAAAAGUAAUUACUCACCCAUGGCGGCGGCUAAACCGUCCGGUGAAGAUGCCAUUGGUCACCCCGCAGAGAGCUGCCGCUGCCAAGGUCACACAGCCUGGCUGUUUGCACUCCGGCUCUCCCCGGCCGCCACGUGCACCUGGCGCCGCAUGGGAAUCUGUCGCCUCCGCCGAGGUCACCAAGCCAGCCUCCGGAUGCUCGCACUGGGGCACGCCUGCAGUACUCGGAGAUUGCGGAUGCCUUUGAGGAGCAAAUCUCGAUCACUAGGAUCAGAACCUGAAAGGGGGGUACCACGAUCCUGUUGGAUUUCUAAACUCGUGCCUCCCUGUCCUGGAGGCGGAGCUCCUCGAGGUAGUCGAUAAUCCAUGUUAUCAUGCCAUUAAAUGCAGUGCAGUUCUCUGCAUUGAGUUAUCGCAUCCCACCAAAGUUGAGUCUGGUAAUGGAGAGACUAGCAUCCAUAACCUUUGGGGGGAUAAUGGCGUGAUAACGCGGAGCACAUCAAUCGCCGAGUGGUUUUGUAAAUCCACCUUGAGUGUCAUAUUGGGCCGGUUUUCCAAGAUGGAAAUAAGUGGCUCAGCUAAGGCACUCAGCAGAAUUCUACACCUGGACAUCCAUAUAAAUGUCCACGAUCCAUUAAACGGAGGGUCUAGCAAUAUCAAGUUUCCUUAAGAUAUAGCUAAUAAGCAUGCAUGCAUUAAUGUCGAAAAUAGAAAAGAUCAGGCUUGUUUUGCAUGGUCAAUCCUGGCUUGCGAGAGAAAGUACGAUAGAAGAAAUCAUCCUGAGCGUCCCAGUACAUACAAUGGAGGUGAUAAUAUACAUUCAUGUUAUAACUUUGAUGGUAUUGAGUUCCCCGUCAAAAUCCAGGACACAACUAAAUUAGAGGCCAAGAAUAUCAGAAUAUCAGUACAUGUUUAUGGCCUGUAGAAGAAAAACAAAACUUAGCCAGAUGAGCAAAACGAGCAUAUUGUAGUCGGUCCUCUCCAUUUCUCAAAAUUUGCCGGUAUGAGAGAGCUGCAUGUAAAUAUGCUUCCCUUUUCUGAAGGUGACAAUUAUCACUAUGUGUGGAUCAAGGACAUUUCCCAACUCCUUUAUUCCCAGUUAAGUGACAAAUGAAAAAAGAAUAUUUGUUUAAGGUGCCUCAGUUAUUUCUCCUCUGAACAGUUAUUAGCUAUACAUCUAGUAGACUGUACCUCCAAGGAUGCAGUACAUGUUAUCAUUGCCACUGAGGAAAACAAAUUCAUAAAGUUUAAAAAUGCUUACCACCGGGAGCGGCGUCCGUUUGUAGUCUACGCCAACUUCGAACGCCUCCUCGCUCCUGUGACCCACUGUGAAGCUGACCAUACAAUCUCACACAUCACCUUUACAGAGAAACACGUACCAUAUGCGGCAGCGUACCAAAUUGUAUCGUCGUAUGACUCCAACCUUAACUGAUACAAAUCUUACGCAGGGAUAAUCCUGCGGUUUGGUUGCUCUCUGAGCUUGAAAAAUUUUCACGGGAGAUUGAUAAGCUUUACAGCGGGAACGUCCCCAUUACCAAAUCGAUGGAGAAUGAAGAUCUGUAUAAUAAUGCCACUGUUUGUCAUAUUUGUGAGCUACCUUUAGACAGAAAAGCGGAAACUCCUCGUAGGGACCACUGUCACCUUACAGGGAAAUUCUGUGGCGCAGCUCACAACACAUGCAAUUUGAAGUACCAGUUACCUAGACACAUACCCGUUUUAUUCCACAAUUUAAGUGGGUAUGACGCUCACUUUCUAGUUGAGCAUUAGCCGAUUUUGGUUUGGAGAAAGAUCAGGUCAGUGUCCUACCUAAGAGCAUCGAGAAGUAUAUUUCAUUCUCCAAACGAAUGACGCCAAGAAUUUCUCUCCACUUCCUUGAUACGCUACGUUUUAUGCAAGCACCACUACAGAGACUUGUUGAGACUCUACCUCUUGGGGAUACGCAUAUCACUCGAGCAGCAUUUCCUGUCAAGGAAAAGUUUCAACAUGCGACUAGGAAGGUGGUUUUCCCACAUGAGUAUGUGGAUAGUAUGGCCAAAAUCAACGAAACCAGGCUACCCGACAUUACUGCAUUCUCCAGUAACCUCAUAGGCGACGCCAUAACGAUUGCAGAGUAUGAGCAUGCUGUGAAUGUCUGCCAGGAAUUCAAUAUUUCCACUUUAGGAGAGUACACACAGCUUUACAUGAACAUAGACGUGUGCUUGCUUGUGGACGUUUUCUAGAAGUUCCGGAGUCUAUGUAUGACCACAUAUUCUCUGGACCCAGCCUUUUAUUACACAGCACAUGGGUUGUCGUGCGACGCGAUGCUCAAGAAAAUGAAGUGCAACAUCGAAUUAUUGACAGAUCCUGGCAUGCUUCUUUGAGUGAGGGAUCUGUGGGGGACUUUGACAAUGUGUCCAUAGAUGUGUGAAAGCAAAUAACCCACGGAUGGGUGACAGGUUGAACGCAUCCCUUGAUUCAAGUUAUAUAAUGUACCUUGACGUGAAUAACUUAUAUGGGCAAUCACUGCCAAUUUCCGAGUUUCGGUGGCUGUCCGGAGAUGAAUACAAGGGAUUAGGUGGAAAAAUCGUGGCGAGUAUGGAAGCUGAUUCUGAUAUAGGGUAUGUUGUGGAGGCAGAACUCGCAUACCCUAUUAGUUUGCAUGAUGCGCAUUCCGAUUUGCCGCAGUGUCCAGAGCAACUAGUUCCACGAGGAGGUUCCACACCGAAACUGAUGACUACGGUGGGGGAUAAGCAGCGGUAUAUAAUUCACUAUCGUAACCUCCAGCAGUGCCUCAGGUUGGUUAUGGAGCUGGUUAAAAUCACCUGGGCCAUCUCCUUCAAGCAGUCCUGAUUGAUGGGGUGGGCAUUAUGGCGUAAGAAAAUGCAUUGCCAGACCAAAUUUUAAGCGGGUCACCAUAUUCAAUAAGAACUUCGUUGCUGUGGAGAUGGCGAAAACUGCAGUAUAGUUUACUAAACCCAUCUAUGUGGUGAUGUGCAUACUAGUCCUGUCCAAACUUCACAUGUACCACUUUCAUUAUGAGUUCGCGAAAACUCAUUUCGCAGAUCCUAAGUUUCUUUAUAUGGAUACUGAUAGCUUCAUCUAUUGGGUGAAGAACUGCGAUCCAUAUGAAGUAAUUGGGUACCACAGUAAUAAAUUUGGCACAUCUUCUUAUGUGGCCGAUAAUCCUUAUGGAAUUGUUCCACAGAACAACAAGGUUAUCGGUCUCAUGAAGGACGAGUCAAAUGGAUCACCGAUUGUGGAGUUUGUAGGUCUUCGGUCAAAAAUGUAUGCAUAUCGCACAUUGAAAGGUGCAACCCAGAGGCGGGCUAAGGGUGUGCGUUGCAUGGCAUCGAGAGCUCUAUCUAUCGAAGAUUAUUUGCAAUGCCUACGUGGGUGUGUGUAUAAAUAUUGGAUGAGAGUUUUGUAGUGUGUAUCAGAUUGCGUGCUUCCUUGUAUGUCUGAGUGUGCAAAUGUGCGCGAGCCUGUGUUAAGUGUGUGUAAAUAUGUAUUAAUUAUCCUCUGAAAGAAAAUCAUAAAAAAAAAAAAUUUUAAAAUCUCGAAUAAAUUAUUUAAAAAGUCUUUAUGUAUAUAUGUAAAUAUAUUUUUUGACCGUUACUACUAUUUAAUGUACAUGAGCAAAAAAUAAAUAAAUUUGGCCAGUU
Long non-coding RNA from Schistocerca nitens (vagrant locust), 4010 nucleotides. RefSeq lists it as uncharacterized. The record is from RefSeq and is a predicted model, not a curated record. Lineage: Eukaryota; Metazoa; Arthropoda; Insecta; Orthoptera; Acrididae. The transcript is spliced from 3 exons.